CCACCACUUAAACGUGGUUGUCCUUGCUUUGGAACGAAGAAAGUAAGUGCUUCCAUGUUUGGGUGAUGG
Rattus norvegicus (Norway rat) is the source of this 69-nucleotide non-coding RNA. Lineage: Eukaryota; Metazoa; Chordata; Mammalia; Rodentia; Muridae. The record is from Rfam.